ACACCUCAACUCUUCAUGGUUUUCUGUGAUGAGCUUGGACUUUGGGGGUUUUGCUGGCCUAUGGUCGGCUCCUCUGAAAUGAAUCAGCUUGCCGGUGUUUGGUGGGCAUCACAGGUGUGAUAACUAUCUACGCUCGUGGUUUUCCACCAGGUAACCUUCAGCAGUGGAGGUUCACUGGAGCUCACAGAUGUCUCUCCUCAGCGAGGACAGCCCUUUGAAU
This 220-nucleotide unclassified non-coding RNA is filed under the name uncultured Tomentella. RNAcentral's name for it is "sequence contains ITS2". The record is from RNAcentral. Lineage: Eukaryota; Fungi; Basidiomycota; Agaricomycetes; Thelephorales; Thelephoraceae.